UCACUCUGCCAGCCGGCUCCCCGCCACUCGGCACCACGGCUUCCCUUCCCGAGCCCGGCGUGAGGGGCUUCCCCGUCGCCACCGCCGGUGCCACCAUCUCGUCCACCGGCCAAGCCCCGCCGCUCCCGCGGCCCGCGGCCGCCAUGCAGUUUAUGUUGCUUUUUAGUCGUCAGGGGAAGCUUCGCCUGCAAAAAUGGUAUGUCCCACUGUCGGACAAAGAGAAGAAGAAGAUUACAAGAGAACUUGUUCAGACCGUUUUAGCCCGGAAACCUAAAAUGUGCAGCUUUCUUGAAUGGCGUGAUCUGAAGAUUGUUUACAAAAGAUAUGCUAGCCUGUAUUUUUGCUGUGCGAUUGAGGAUCAGGACAACGAACUGAUCACCCUGGAAAUAAUUCACCGUUACGUGGAGUUGCUCGACAAAUAUUUUGGCAGCGUGUGUGAGCUCGACAUCAUCUUUAAUUUUGAGAAGGCUUACUUUAUUUUGGAUGAGUUUCUCUUGGGAGGAGAAGUUCAGGAAACAUCCAAGAAAAAUGUGCUGAAAGCAAUUGAGCAGGCGGAUUUACUGCAGGAGGUAAACUUGAUCGGAUAACUGAAGUUUGGUUACACUGAUCCCUGAAAUUUUGAACCAGAUUCCAAACAAGUCUCCAUCCCAGCACUGUUUCCCUCCAUAGGAAGCUGAAACUCCGCGUAGUGUUCUUGAAGAAAUUGGACUGACAUAAGCCUCCUCCCCUGUUGACGACUUCCUGUGGCAUUUCACACUGUAGAUGGUCACUGCCUUCAUGUUCAUGUUAGCUAAUGGUGUAAGAUGACGUCUUGUCAGUAUUACUGUUUUUGCUAAGCUGCUUCAUUCAGGCCUACACAAUUUUUUUAAAGGAACUUUGGGUAAUGAAGUGGUAACUUUAAGGGAAUUAAUAUGAAUUACAAUAAUGCAGAAAAAGUACCUUUUUUUGGAUAUUUUCAAGUUUAUAGGCCCGUUUCCCUUAUUUUGAUUAUGCAUAUGAAACUGACACAAUCAGGAAAUAUACAUUUAUUAUUAACCACUGUCUUUUAGCAAAGGAAACAGUUAAAUUAUGCAAAAUCUGGUUUUAUGAAACCAAAGACUAGUGUAGUACUUCAGUAUACGUGCAAAUAAAGGGAAUUACAAUAUCACAUAUAGAAUGAAAAUUUAACUCUUGACACAUCAAAUGUACUCCAAAUUUAUACCAAAGACCCUUAUUAGAAGCUUAUUACAAACCUUAAAACAAAGGGAACACACAAAUGACAAAAUUGGAACGAUGCUCUUUUAGCCCCAAAGAUUUCUUAGACAUUCGGACCCAGGGACAAUGAAUAGAGCUCAACCGUUUCAUACUAUGGCACACGUUCAUUUUUAAGGUCGAGGAGUGUCUGACUCCUGAGAGAAAUGGAAAACUAUCGUAUGGCAAAAUGUGUUCUUUUCUUCACCAAGUGUUACAUUAAGUCUUGGUUAAAGCUAUUAAAGUUAAAGCUUUUCUGGGGUGCUAGUUACUGCCACGUUAAUUUUGCUUCCCUCCACUUAGAAGUGCUGCCAAUGCUAAGGCAGUUUUCUUCCCUUCCGUGACACUGCCCAGUAUCAAAAGUAUUAUAAAAAUAAAAAGGGACACCGCCUUUCAUAUAAAAGGGAGAGCCGAAUGAGGUAAAAUGACAUUAGUGGGCCCGAUACUUUCAAAGCUGUCAAAUCGUUUUAGUGUCACUUUCAUGUAUCUUGAAUCUGUGGAAACACGUUUUCAUCAUUGCCAUUUCACUUGUACCUGCUGGGCUGGAUUAAGCUUCAUUGUGAUUCUGACCAACAUUUAGGCCAUGGGAACUCUGUCUUAUCCCAUCACCCGUUAGCUGUUGUAAAAUGCCCAACACAUACCACUGUAGUGUGCUUUUCUCUUUCCAAAACUGACCCAGUGUGGAAAGCUGCAGAGAGUUUUGAGUUUUUGUUUAGUAGAAUGCUGAAAAUAAACCUCCAUGUGAAUGUGGUGGUUGUUAAAAGCACAUACAAGAUAAAUGAUGCAAGAUUUAAGGGAUGUUCAUGUACUUCAGGCUCAUAAAAAAUAAUGUGGAUUCCAUGCUACUGAGAGCUUAUCUAUACAUUUAUUUUCAAUCAAUAAAUGCCGCUUUUAAAACCCUGAA
Molecule: RNA transcript, 2134 nt
Organism: Sorex fumeus (smoky shrew)
Lineage: Eukaryota; Metazoa; Chordata; Mammalia; Eulipotyphla; Soricidae
Gene: AP1S2
Gene name: adaptor related protein complex 1 subunit sigma 2
Exons: 7
Source: RefSeq, a predicted model, not a curated record